Molecule: transfer RNA, 74 nt
Filed under: Loxodonta africana (African savanna elephant)
Lineage: Eukaryota; Metazoa; Chordata; Mammalia; Proboscidea; Elephantidae
Rfam family: tRNA
About the family: Transfer RNA (tRNA) molecules are approximately 80 nucleotides in length. Their secondary structure includes four short double-helical elements and three loops (D, anti-codon, and T loops). Further hydrogen bonds mediate the characteristic L-shaped molecular structure. tRNAs have two regions of fundamental functional importance: the anti-codon, which is responsible for specific mRNA codon recognition, and the 3' end, to which the tRNAs corresponding amino acid is attached (by aminoacyl-tRNA synthetases). tRNAs cope with the degeneracy of the genetic code in two manners: having more than one tRNA (with a specific anti-codon) for a particular amino acid; and 'wobble' base-pairing, i.e. permitting non-standard base-pairing at the 3rd anti-codon position.
Source: Rfam by way of RNAcentral
GCCCUCGUGGUGCACAUGGUUAAUACACUUGGUUGUUAACCAAAAGGUUGGAGGUUUGAAUCCACCCAGAGGCA